Long non-coding RNA from Chiroxiphia lanceolata (lance-tailed manakin), 826 nucleotides. RefSeq lists it as uncharacterized. The transcript has 5 exons. Lineage: Eukaryota; Metazoa; Chordata; Aves; Passeriformes; Pipridae. The record is from RefSeq and is a predicted model, not a curated record.
GCAGUUCCCUCCCCUCUGCAGUGUGUGGGCAAGUGGAACCCCUGGUUUGGUACAUAAAGGGGUGCACGUCCAGCUCUCACCAUACAGCCCCACACAGCCCCCAGCAGGACUCCCCAGGUCGCAGAGCUGGUGCACACGCGUGUGCCGGGCAGCCACGGCGGGGUUUUCUCCCCCUGGCACCGGGAGGGAGAGGAGCUGGAGGAGGAUGCCAGAGCAGCUGAGUUCUCCCAUCCCUGAGCACAAGCGCUACGGAGGAUUAGCCAUCUCCCGCGGUGCCUGUUCUCCCGCCCACCUCCCUCAGCAGCGAGGAGAUGACAGCUGAGGGAAGAGAGCAGAGCACUCGAGGCGUGCAGGGGAGAGAUGGCUGAAGACAGACCGACCUUUCUGCAGCAGCAGCGCAGCAGGACGUGUGUUGGUAGUUCGAUCAGAAGGGAAAGGCACAGCCUGGCACGAUGUCAGGAAAGGAUUAAAACACUCAUCUGGCUGGGGACCUGAUUUAUCUACUGGACUAACAGCACAGCUGCACAAUGGAGGAAACGGUCCUGCAGAGUCCUGGGGCUGCUGUUGCCCAAACACAGCUUUGGCAAGAGGGCAGCUGCUAAGCUGGGCUUAAGCUGCUCUAGAAGCAACAGAAUAAAGAUUGUUUUGGACUGAGUGUCACAGAUGGUCACUGAUAAGUGACUCGUGUAACCACAGGCUCCUCCUCGCUGCUCAGGGGUUGCUGCAACCACACCAUAGGAUCUGACCUACAGGUGGCUGGAUGAAAAAGUGAUUCCCUGGUUUCUUCUGUUCCAGAAUAAAAUAAAUUAUGGGAAAUCUUGUGAGU